RNAcentral lists this ribosomal RNA (412 nucleotides) under uncultured eukaryote. Its description in RNAcentral is "SSU rRNA". It matches the Rfam family "Eukaryotic small subunit ribosomal RNA", at positions 567 to 990 of the family's 1831-position model. The record is from RNAcentral.
CCAGCAGCUGCGGUAAUUUCAGCUCUAAUAGCGUAUAUUAAAGUUGUUGCAGUUAAAAAGCUCGUAGUCGGAAGUCGGGCUCGGGCAGGCUGUCGGCCUCGGUUGGGCAGCUUGCUUGGGUCUUCUAGCUCGGGGGCCCCGUGCCAUUUAACCGUGGUGCGCGGGAACACGGGCCGUUUACUUUGAAAAAAUCAGAUCGUUCAAAGAAGGCUAAGCUCGAAUAUGUUAGCAUGGAAUAAUGGAAUAGGACUUGGGUUCUAUUUUGUUGGUCAAUGGAUCCUAAGUAAUGAUUAAUAGGGACAGUUGGGGCCGUUUAUAUUUCGUUGUCAGAGGUGAAAUUCUUGGAUUUACGAAAGAUAAACUUCUGCGAAAGCAUUCGGCAAGGAUGUUUUCAUUGAUCAAGAACGAAAAU